UACGUAGGGACCAAGCGUUGUUCGGAUUUACUGGGCGUAAAGGGCGCGUAGGCGGCGCGGUAAGUCACUUGUGAAAUCUCUGAGCUUAACUCAGAACGGCCAAGUGAUACUGCAGUGCUAGAGUGUGGAAGGGGCAAUCGGAAUUCUUGGUGUAGCGGUGAAAUGCGUAGAUAUCAAGAGGAACACCUGAGGUGAAGACGGGUUGCUUGGCCAACACUGACGCUGAGGCGCGAAAGCCAGGGGAGCAAACGGG
This 253-nucleotide ribosomal RNA is filed under the name uncultured bacterium. RNAcentral describes it as "partial 16S ribosomal RNA". It matches the Rfam family "Bacterial small subunit ribosomal RNA", at positions 524 to 776 of the family's 1533-position model. The record is from RNAcentral.